CCCAAUUUCCCAGUUCCCCUCCAUCAGAAAAAACUGCCCUCGCCGUCGCCGAACUCUUCUUGUCAGCAAGAGGGUGCCUCGCCGCCAGUAGUGACAAACAGAGGGUUAGCUCAAAGCUCUUGGCCAUCCAUUCUCUUCUCCUCCACGUCGUGGCCUUUACCCUUGCAGAUCGAAGCUCGUGGCCUCUUCACUACAUCGUCUUCGUCUUCUUCGUUGUGGACUUGCAGAUCGAAGUGUGGUCAGUUGGAUUCCUCCAUCGUCUUCGUCUUCUUCGUCGUGGACUUGCUCGAUCCUUGUCUCUGUCUCGUCGUUCCUCCCUUGCCGGUAGUUGAGUUUUGUUCUUUCCUCGCCGCCUGUUUCGCUCUUCCUUCGAAGUCAGAUUGAUUCCUCUGUCGUCUGUAAAUCUGCUUCAUUUUUUCUUUUGUUAAUUUCUAUGAAUUUGAGUUUCUGUAUUUUAAUGAUUCAAACCUAUGUUUGCUUCAAUUUAUGGUUGCUUAUUUUAUUAGUUUUAUUGAGGUACUGAAUUCUGAUUCUUGGUUGCUGUUUCUUUUACUUCUGAGUUAGUGUUGAUGGUGGUAUGAAGGCCAAAUUUGGAUUAAUGGUGUAAUUUUUGUCUCUGAAUUCUCUGAUUUUUUCUAUUUUUGAAUUAUAAAAAAUUAUUUUGAAAGAUUUUCUUGUUUUAUACUUUUGUU
This 692-nucleotide long non-coding RNA is filed under the name Arachis ipaensis. Its description in RNAcentral is "long non-coding RNA (AIPA_LNC001554)". The record is from RNAcentral. Lineage: Eukaryota; Viridiplantae; Streptophyta; Magnoliopsida; Fabales; Fabaceae.